GUUGUCGUGGCCGAGUGUUUAAUGCGAAAGAAUAGAAAUCUUUAAGGAUCUUCCCGCGCAGGUUCGAAUCCUGCCGACAACC
RNAcentral lists this transfer RNA (82 nucleotides) under Dreissena polymorpha. It matches the Rfam family "tRNA". Rfam says of the family: Transfer RNA (tRNA) molecules are approximately 80 nucleotides in length. Their secondary structure includes four short double-helical elements and three loops (D, anti-codon, and T loops). Lineage: Eukaryota; Metazoa; Mollusca; Bivalvia; Myida; Dreissenidae. The record is from Rfam by way of RNAcentral.